Carlito syrichta (Philippine tarsier) is the source of this 539-nucleotide RNA transcript. It is a transcript of the gene named ubiquitin-fold modifier-conjugating enzyme 1 pseudogene, with no coding region annotated. The transcript has a single exon. Lineage: Eukaryota; Metazoa; Chordata; Mammalia; Primates; Tarsiidae. The record is from RefSeq and is a predicted model, not a curated record.
CAAGAUGGUGGAUGAGGCUACCCGGCAUGCUGUGUCUGAGAUCCCGGUGCUGAAGAUGAAUGCUGGACCCCAAGAUCGGGAUUUGUGGAUGCAGAAACUGAAGGAAGAAUAUCAAUCCCUUAUUCGGUAUGUGGAAAAUGACAAGAAUGCCGACAAUGACUGGUUCCGACUGGAGUCCAGCAAGGAAGGGACUCGGUGGUUUGGAAAAUGCUGGUACAUCCAUGACCUCCUCAAAUAUGAGUUUGACAUCGAGUUUGACAUUCCUGUCACCUAUCCCACCACUGCUCCAGAAAUUGCAGUCCCUGAGCUGGGUGGAAGGCAGCAAAGAUGUACAGGGGUGGCAAAAUAUGCCUGACAGAUCACUUCAAACCUUUGUGGACCAGGAACAUGCCCAAGUUUGGAUUAGCUCAUCUUAUGGCUCUGGGGCUGGGCCCAGGGCUGGCAGUGAAAAUCCCUGAUCUGAUUCAGAAGGGCGUGAUCCAGCACAAAGAGAAAUGCAGCCAAUGAAGGACCAAGCCACUGAGGCAGGGCAGAGGGGC